UACAGAGGGUGCGAGCGUUAAUCGGAAUUACUGGGCGUAAAGCGCGCGUAGGCGGCUUUGCAAGUCGGGUGUGAAAUCCCCAGGCUCAAUCUGGGAACUGCAUUCGAGACUGCAUUGCUAGAGUAUGGGAGAGGGAAGUGGAAUUUUCGGUGUAGCGGUGAAAUGCGUAGAUAUCGGAAGGAACAUCAGUGGCGAAAGCGACUUCCUGGACCAAUACUGACGCUCAUGUGCGAAAGCGUGGGGGAGCAAAACAGGG
RNAcentral lists this ribosomal RNA (256 nucleotides) under uncultured bacterium. RNAcentral's name for it is "partial 16S ribosomal RNA". It matches the Rfam family "Bacterial small subunit ribosomal RNA", at positions 524 to 777 of the family's 1533-position model. The record is from RNAcentral.